AGUGAACGCUGGCGGUAGGCCUAACACAUGCAAGUCGAACGGCAGCACAGUAGGAGCUUGCUCUUACGGGUGGCGAGUGGCGGACGGGUGAGGAAUACAUCGGAAUCUACUUUUUCGUGGGGGAUAACGUAGGGAAACUUACGCUAAUACCGCAUCCGACCUACGGGUGAAAGCAGGGGAUCUUCGGACCUUGCGCGAUUGAAUGAGCCGAUGUCGGAUUAGCUAGUUGGCGGGGUAAAGGCCCACCAAGGCGACGAGCCGUAGCUGGUCUGAGAGGAUGAUCAGCCACACUGGAACUGAGACACGGUCCAGACUCCUACGGGAGGCAGCAGUGGGGAAUAUUGGACAAUGGGCGCAAGCCUGAUCCAGCCAUACCGCGUGGGUGAAGAAGGCCUUCGGGUUGUAAAGCCCUUUUGUUGGGAAAGAAAAGCAGCAGGUUAAUACCCCGCUGUUCUGACGGUACCCAAAGAAUAAGCACCGGCUAACUUCGUG
This 492-nucleotide ribosomal RNA is filed under the name uncultured bacterium. RNAcentral's name for it is "partial 16S ribosomal RNA". It matches the Rfam family "Bacterial small subunit ribosomal RNA", at positions 29 to 507 of the family's 1533-position model. The record is from RNAcentral.